AUGGAUUAAUGCUGCCGCAGCUUUUCAUUUCUAAAAUCUGAUUGAUAAAAAAUAAUAACCAACAUGCGUAUUAUAUAUAUGAAGCUCUAGUAAUAAUGGUUAACACCAAAAUUUGGUAAUUUUAGUGCCAACAGAGUCUACUUAAGGAAGCCGACAAAUUGAUGCACUACUGGAAACAGCAACACUACCGAAGGCUUUUCGCUUUGCCGAGGGCCGGAUCUCGGGCACUCGGCAAAGGAAAUCUUUGACGAGGGCCGGCCCUCGGUAAAGAGGGACCCUCGGCAAAGAAAGGCCCUCGGCCAAGGCCCAUCUUUGCCGAGGGCCGGGCCCUCGGCAAAUACUGUGCUCUCGGCGGCGUGGGCCCAGGCUAACGGCGGCUCUCGGCGUUAGGCUUUGCCGAGGGCCCGGCGUUAAGCCCUCGGCAAAGCUCUGCCGGAGGCCCACCUUUGCUGAGGGCCCACCUGCCUGCCCUCGGCAAUGCCCCUCUUUGCCGACGUUCUGGCGUGGGCCCUCGGCUAAGAUUUAUUUUUUUGUUUUUUUUAUCCAUUUUUUGUGUGGCACACCUACACUAUUUUAAACUACAUGUCAAAGUUUGGUUCAUUUUGAAAUAACUUUGGUAUAUUUCUUGGAUUUCUUGAAUCAGUUGAAUUUCUCGACAAAUUUCAAAUUUGAAGUGAUCACAUGUGAGAUGUCUGGGUUUUGUGCACUGGACGUUACCACAGACUCGGAUUUUUUUUGAAAUUUUUAUCAUAGCCUCCACAUGUGAUAGCAUGAUAUGUCAAGUUUCGUGAUUUUCUGACUUUGUUUGCGUUUUAUAUAAUUAAAAAACUAUUUUCCCGCAACAUGGUCGACAUGUUUCGAGGGGUAAACGUUAUAUAUUUCACGUGCCCUUCUGGAUACGGUCUGGAAAUGCACUAACCAUUAUGAAUAUCAAGAUUGAAAUUAAUUAAUAUUAUUUAAUGCACCUGUACAUCAAAUUUGAAAUUUGUUGAGAAAAUCAAGAAAUUCAAAAAAUCUAGGAAAUAUAGCAAAAUUAUUUCAAAAUGAACCAAACUUUGGCAUCUAGUUUAAAAUAGUGUAUGUGUGCCACACAAAAAAAUUGGACUAAAAAACUUUGCCGAGGGUCUUGAUAUAGCCCUCAACAAAGAAAUUAGAACACUUAAAUUUAAAUACUUUGCCGAGGGCCCUAAAUCUAGGCCCUCAGCAAAGAAAUUAAUUAAGAAAAAUAAAAAAUCUUUGCCGAGGGCCCUAGAUCUAGGACCUCGGCAAAGAACGCCAACAAAUUAAACUGCCCGAGCGGGC
RNAcentral lists this long non-coding RNA (1302 nucleotides) under Sorghum bicolor (sorghum). RNAcentral describes it as "long non-coding RNA (SBIC_LNC009167)". Lineage: Eukaryota; Viridiplantae; Streptophyta; Magnoliopsida; Poales; Poaceae. The record is from RNAcentral.